RNAcentral lists this ribosomal RNA (406 nucleotides) under uncultured bacterium. RNAcentral describes it as "partial 16S ribosomal RNA". It matches the Rfam family "Bacterial small subunit ribosomal RNA", at positions 30 to 526 of the family's 1533-position model. The record is from RNAcentral.
AUUGAACGCUGGCGGCAGGCCUAACACAUGCAAGUCGAGCGAGCGGCGGACGGGUGAGUAAUGUCUGGGAAACUGCCUGAUGGAGGGGGAUAACUACUGGAAACGGUAGCUAAUACCGCAUACUAUCAGAUGAGCCUAGGUCGGAUUAGCUAGUUGGUGAGGUAAUGGCUCACCAAGGCUACGAUCCGUAACUGGUCUGAGAGGAUGAUCAGUCACACUGGAACUGAGACACGGUCCAGACUCCUACGGGAGGCAGCAGUGGGGAAUAUUGGACAAUGGGCGAAAGCCUGAUCCAGCCAUGCCGCGUGUGUGAAGAAGGCCUUCGGGUUGUAAAGCACUUUCAGCGGGGAGGCGUUACCCGCAGAAGAAGCACCGGCUAACUCCGUGCCAGCCGCCGCGGUAAUAC